AUGCCUUUCUCCUUCUUUUUGGUGACGUCGGAUGCCCGCCUUUGGCGCUCAGAAGUGGAUUCUCCUUCAAAGAGGGCUUUUCCCAAGAAAGGGACAUGGUUGUACUGGAUUUCUAGUCCUAUAGUGGAAGAGCAGAUAGGAUCACACCUACACGUAAGUUCGUUCGUUGGGUUAGUGGCCACCCGCACUCCAACCUAUCUAUAUGGCAACAAAGCGAAUGACAAGGCCAAAGUAGCUGACUCUUAUCGCUAA
Molecule: ribosomal RNA, 252 nt
Filed under: Triticum aestivum (bread wheat)
Lineage: Eukaryota; Viridiplantae; Streptophyta; Magnoliopsida; Poales; Poaceae
Description: partial small subunit ribosomal RNA
Source: RNAcentral